This 401-nucleotide ribosomal RNA is filed under the name uncultured bacterium. RNAcentral's name for it is "bacterial SSU rRNA". It matches the Rfam family "Bacterial small subunit ribosomal RNA", at positions 28 to 417 of the family's 1533-position model. The record is from RNAcentral.
GACGAACGCUGGCGGCGUGCUUAACACAUGCAAGUCGAGCGGUAAGGCCCUUUCGGGGGUACACGAGCGGCGAACGGGUGAGUAACACGUGGGUGACCUGCCCUCAGCUCUGGGAUAAGCCUGGGAAACUGGGUCUAAUACCGGAUGUGACCACAUGUCGCAUGGUGUGUGGUGGAAAGUUGUGCUCUUCGGGGUGCUUCGGUUGGGGAUGGGCCCGCGGCCUAUCAGCUUGUUGGUGGGGNGAUGGCCUACCAAGGCGACGACGGGUAGCCGGCCUGAGAGGGCGACCGGCCACACUGGGACUGAGACACGGCCCAGACUCCUACGGGAGGCAGCAGUGGGGAAUCUUGCGCAAUGGGCGAAAGCCUGACGCAGCGACGCCGCGUGAGGGAUGACGGCCU